CAGCCGCCACGGGAAUACGGAGGGGGCUAGCGUUGUUCGGAAUUACUGGGCGUAAAGCGCACGUAGGCGGCUUGGUAAGUUAGAGGUGAAAGCCCGGAGCUCAACUCCGGAAUUGCCUUUAAGACUGCCGAGCUAGUAGGUGAGAGAGGUAAGUGGAAUUCCGAGUGUAGAGGUGAAAUUCGUAGAUAUUCGGAAGAACACCAGUGGCGAAGGCGGCUUACUGGCUCAUUCUAGACGCUGAGGUGCGAAAGCGUGGGGAGCAAACAGGAUUAGAUACCCCAGUAGUCCCUGUCUCUUAUAC
RNAcentral lists this ribosomal RNA (301 nucleotides) under uncultured bacterium. RNAcentral's name for it is "partial 16S ribosomal RNA". It matches the Rfam family "Bacterial small subunit ribosomal RNA", at positions 509 to 807 of the family's 1533-position model. The record is from RNAcentral.